This 426-nucleotide ribosomal RNA is filed under the name uncultured bacterium. RNAcentral describes it as "partial 16S ribosomal RNA". It matches the Rfam family "Bacterial small subunit ribosomal RNA", at positions 355 to 774 of the family's 1533-position model. The record is from RNAcentral.
UGGGGAAUAUUGGACAAUGGGCGAAAGCCUGAUCCAGCCAUGCCGCGUGUGUGAAGAAGGUCUUCGGAUUGUAAAGCACUUUAAGUUGGGAGGAAGGGCAUUAACCUAAUACGUUAGUGUUUUGACGUUACCGACAGAAUAAGCACCGGCUAACUCUGUGCCAGCAGCCGCGGUAAUACAGAGGGUGCAAGCGUUAAUCGGAAUUACUGGGCGUAAAGCGCGCGUAGGUGGUUUGUUAAGUUGGAUGUGAAAUCCCCGGGCUCAACCUGGGAACUGCAUUCAAAACUGACUGACUAGAGUAUGGUAGAGGGUGGUGGAAUUUCCUGUGUAGCGGUGAAAUGCGUAGAUAUAGGAGGAACACCAGUGGCGAAGGCGACCACCUGGACUAAUACUGACACUGAGGUGCGAAAGCGUGGGGAGCAAACA